RNAcentral lists this ribosomal RNA (254 nucleotides) under uncultured bacterium. RNAcentral's name for it is "partial 16S ribosomal RNA". It matches the Rfam family "Bacterial small subunit ribosomal RNA", at positions 524 to 776 of the family's 1533-position model. The record is from RNAcentral.
UACGUAGGGUGCAAGCGUUGUCCGGAAUUAUUGGGCGUAAAGAGCUCGUAGGCGGCUUGUCGCGUCGACUGUGAAAACCCAUGGCUCAACCAUGGGCUUGCAGUCGAUACGGGCGGGCUAGAGUUCGGUAGGGGAGACUGGAAUUCCUGGUGUAGCGGUGAAAUGCGCAGAUAUCAGGAGGAACACCGGUGGCGAAGGCGGGUCUCUGGGCAGUAACUGACGCUGAGGAGCGAAAGCGUGGGGGAGCGAACAGG